UACGUAGGGGGCAAGCGUUGUCCGGAAUUAUUGGGCGUAAAGGGCGCGUAGGCGGCCUGGCAAGUGGAAGGUGAAAUCCCUCGGCUUAACCGAGGAACUGCCCUCCAAACUGCUUGGCUCGAGACCGGGAGAGGUGAGUGGAAUUCCCAGUGUAGCGGUGAAAUGCGUAGAUAUUGGGAGGAACACCAGUGGCGAAGGCGGCUCACUGGACCGGUACUGACGCUGAUGCGCGAAAGCGUGGGGAGCAAACGGG
This 253-nucleotide ribosomal RNA is filed under the name uncultured prokaryote. RNAcentral describes it as "partial 16S ribosomal RNA". It matches the Rfam family "Bacterial small subunit ribosomal RNA", at positions 524 to 776 of the family's 1533-position model. The record is from RNAcentral.